GCAGCCCCGAAGAGUAAAAGGCGGACAAAGAUAUCAAGUAAAACAUGGCGUCUUCAGGAACCUCCACCGACUGGCAAAGAGGAAAGACGCUGUCACAGUGUAUGGACCACGUAUUCACGUCUGGCACAACUAGUGAUGUAACGUUCCUUGUCGGUGAGGACAAGAAAAAGAUACCUGCCCACAAACUGAUCCUAAUAAGUAGAAGCCCAGUAUUCUACGCCAUGUUGGAGGAUCCAAUGGCUGAGAAAGGGGAGAUAACCAAUCUGGAUAUAACCGAAGACGUCUUUCAGCUGUUUUUACGAUGUCUGUACACAGACACAAUAAACUUGACGGAGAUGAACGUAGUACCAGUGUUGAAUGCCGCCAGG
Mizuhopecten yessoensis (Yesso scallop) is the source of this 368-nucleotide long non-coding RNA. RefSeq lists it as uncharacterized. NCBI's taxonomy places the organism in Eukaryota, Metazoa, Mollusca, Bivalvia, Pectinida, Pectinidae. The transcript is spliced from 3 exons. The record is from RefSeq and is a predicted model, not a curated record.